RNAcentral lists this long non-coding RNA (796 nucleotides) under Homo sapiens (human). Its description in RNAcentral is "non-protein coding lnc-SIX3-3:1". Lineage: Eukaryota; Metazoa; Chordata; Mammalia; Primates; Hominidae. The record is from RNAcentral.
CCCGCGGAGACGGGCGGGGACGGGCGAAAGCGGGUUUGCUCCGACCCGAAGCUGAGCCCGGGUUGGAGGGCGAGACCGUAGGCGAGAAUGGCCGCGCGGGCUGGGAGACCCGGGCCGGUAUGGAGUGAGUGGAGCCGCCCGAGAUCAUCAUUUGAGCUAUUCCACUGAAGUCAAGCAUGAAAUCUAUUUAGCUGGAUAGCUACCCAUUUCCUGUGACCUGCAAAAGAGAUGCCCUAUUCUUUCAGGAUCCUUGGAAUGCCACAUGCCCAGGCCCACUGGAAAACUGGGAAGGAAAACUGGAGCCACAUGCCUGGGCCCACUGAGAUUCAUCACCCUUCCCCUACAACCCUGUGUCAAGGAAACACAAAGAUAGAGUGGAUUUCAGCACCACCCAAUGCAGACGCAUGGCUGCUAGUUUAUCAGCAUAGGUCAAUGAAUGGUUUUAAGUUGCUAUGGGUUUAAGAGGAUCUCUUAGUUGAUGGGAAUUUUUGAAUCUUUUUUUUGCGUGGGACCCUUUGGCAGUUUUGUAAAAUGUACAGACUAUUUCUCAGAAUGUUUCUAAACGUGUAAGUUAUAUUGAAAUUGGCCAGGCACGGUGGUUCAUGCCUGUAAUCCCAGCAUUUUGGGAGACCGAGGUGGGCGGAUCACUUGAGGUCAGGAGUUUGAGACCAACCUGGCCAACAUGGUGAAACCCCGUCUCUACUAAAAAAAAUACAAAAGUUAGCCAGGCGUGGUGGUGUGUGCCUGUAAUCCCAGCUACUUGGGAGGCUGAGGCAAGGAGAAUCGCAUAAACCUG